RNAcentral lists this ribosomal RNA (254 nucleotides) under uncultured bacterium. RNAcentral describes it as "partial 16S ribosomal RNA". It matches the Rfam family "Bacterial small subunit ribosomal RNA", at positions 524 to 776 of the family's 1533-position model. The record is from RNAcentral.
UACGUAGGGGGCAAGCGUUGUCCGGAUUAUUGGGCGUAAAGAGCGUGUAGGCGGCCAGACAGGUCAGCUGUGAAAACUCGAGGCUCAACCUCGAGACGUCGGUUGAAACCGUCUGGCUAGAGUCCGGAAGAGGAGAGUGGAAUUCCCGGGUGUAGCGGUGAAAUGCGCAGAUAUCGGGAAGAACACCCGUGGCGAAGGCGGCUCUCGUGGGACGGUACUGACGCUGAGACGCGAAAGCGUGGGGAGCGAACGAG